This 157-nucleotide ribosomal RNA is filed under the name Didymella pinodes (pea foot rot fungus). RNAcentral describes it as "5.8S ribosomal RNA". The stretch from base 1 to 141 matches the Rfam family "5.8S ribosomal RNA". From Rfam's summary of the family: 5.8S ribosomal RNA (5.8S rRNA) is a component of the large subunit of the eukaryotic ribosome. It is transcribed by RNA polymerase I as part of the 45S precursor that also contains 18S and 28S rRNA. Functionally, it is thought that 5.8S rRNA may be involved in ribosome translocation. The record is from RNAcentral. Lineage: Eukaryota; Fungi; Ascomycota; Dothideomycetes; Pleosporales; Didymellaceae. RNAcentral also lists the same sequence under 1 other name.
GGAUCUCUUGGUUCUGGCAUCGAUGAAGAACGCAGCGAAAUGCGAUAAGUAGUGUGAAUUGCAGAAUUCAGUGAAUCAUCGAAUCUUUGAACGCACAUUGCGCCCCUUGGUAUUCCAUGGGGCAUGCCUGUUCGAGCGUCAUUUGUACCUUCAAGCU